GGAGAGGUGUCCGAGUGGUUUAAGGAGCUCGACUGGAAAUCGUGUGUACUACAAAAUGGUACCGUGGGUUCAAAUCCCACCCUCUCCG
Molecule: transfer RNA, 88 nt
Filed under: Fibrobacterota bacterium
Lineage: Bacteria; Pseudomonadati; Fibrobacterota
Description: Fibrobacteres bacterium (bioreactor metagenome) tRNA-Ser
Rfam family: tRNA
About the family: Transfer RNA (tRNA) molecules are approximately 80 nucleotides in length. Their secondary structure includes four short double-helical elements and three loops (D, anti-codon, and T loops). Further hydrogen bonds mediate the characteristic L-shaped molecular structure. tRNAs have two regions of fundamental functional importance: the anti-codon, which is responsible for specific mRNA codon recognition, and the 3' end, to which the tRNAs corresponding amino acid is attached (by aminoacyl-tRNA synthetases). tRNAs cope with the degeneracy of the genetic code in two manners: having more than one tRNA (with a specific anti-codon) for a particular amino acid; and 'wobble' base-pairing, i.e. permitting non-standard base-pairing at the 3rd anti-codon position.
Source: RNAcentral